CAUAUAGAUUCUGAAAUCAUAUAUUUUGAUUACACAACAUUCAUAUAUGUAUCUGUUGCACCUUUUUAAUUGAAUCAAUUUAGGAAUUGAUGGAGAGCCAGACCUGAAUGAAAAUUAUGUAGGAGGUGAUGAUGAUUUCGCUAAACUGACUAACUGUAUAUUUCUUGUAAAGUAGAGGAUUGAUGUAAUAGUUUUGCAGAAAGUCAUUGCUCCCAGCACUGACAAGGUAAAUGGCACCAGAUAUAAUAGAUGAAGCAUUGGAUUUUCCAGCAACCUCAGCUACUUUGUUCUGAUACUCCUUGUAGUGUUCCAGCUGCUGAGUAAAGGAAAGUGCAUUCUACAACACCACAAGCCUAAACAUGUUAUUUUAAGGCAGUGCCCAAGAUAGAAAAACUGAAGUUUUUGAUUUAUUACAUAUAAUUCUGCAGUUGUGUCUAGGUAUCCAGAAGCAGCUGAGGCAAAGCUUGCUCCAAUCAGGAGGUCCUUUCCUCCUCCACCGAGAAUCUUCCCGUAGGCUUGUGAGUUAUAAAAUCUCUUCCGUAAGGGAGGAAGUUUGCUUUAAUGAGGGUUUUAAGAUGAUUAUUGAUCCCAACAUCGAGGACAGAGUCCCCGAAUGUGAACAAUGCUGGAACCAGGGGCUGACCAUUUGCCAGAGAGAUCACAGGAGCAAGGAGAAGAAAGAAAAUAGAUAAACAAGUAGUAUCCAUCAGUCACACCAAAUGAGUUUGUUUGAAAAAAUGAAAGUUGGGAACAUGCAGUUUUAAAGGGAGAUUUGGAAGUGAGGAUGGGUGAAAUAAUUGGUUUCAAAAGUUUAUAUGUUCAAGAAAUCUGAUAAUUUACAGCUUGAUAUGUAUUAAUUAUGUUCAUUAGGCCUCACAAGUUUUAGCUGACACUGAACCCCCAUCUAACAUGUAUCAGAUUGUGUAACCCAUAUAAGGGUUUUAAAUUUCCCAAACUUUCACCUCCGCAAAAUGUUUGAUGAGUUGAUUUCAGGCUUUCAGCCAAAUUUAAGUCUUAGAGUGUAAUAAAUAAGUGACAUUUAUCAGUA
Molecule: long non-coding RNA, 1048 nt
Organism: Cucumis sativus (cucumber)
Lineage: Eukaryota; Viridiplantae; Streptophyta; Magnoliopsida; Cucurbitales; Cucurbitaceae
Exons: 2
Source: RefSeq, a predicted model, not a curated record